ACUCAUCCUGACUUUCGCCUUGCCACUGGACUUUGAUGACUCAGGAAGAGAGACUGAGGCUGAUGACUAUGCAGCUCUGCCUCACAUAAGUCCAAUUCAGGCUCAGGUCAAAACAUGACCCUUAGUGUCAUUGAUCCUUCUCAAAAAUGAAGGACAAACAACAUUACUGUCAAGGGAAGCAUUCUGUGGUAGAUGGAGAAUAAAGGCAGAUAACGGCCAAGUACAAAUGAAAGAAGAAAUUUAAGUCAGAUGAACUAUGUCAUCCCUGUCAACCACUCUGCUGCUGACUUGUCCCAAAGUUGUUGCCAGUGAGUCUACAAGAGAUAAGUUUAUAUCCUGAGGGGGAGAGAGGACACAGGAUGUGCCAGGUGCAUCCAACCGUCUCCAUUACCUCAACCACUUCCCUUCAGAUGGUGGAGGAGACAGCCCAAAAGCCAGAAUCCAAGAGACCCAAGUGCCUCACAGACUAGCAUAGUGCUCGGCAGACUACCAGUCCUGCUUCCAGCCCAGCCCCACAGUCAUCAUCAAGGGGAGUAGCCCUUUGGAGAAAGAUUCCUGCCAUUGCUACCAACAACCACAACCAACUUACAUUGGUCAAGUAAGUUUCAGAGCCAACAGAACAGCAGUACGCCCCACCCCACCCCAGCAGACCAGAGCCUUACGGCAAUCAGACAAGGAAACACACUUGUGGAGACAGAACUUGUCAGCUUUCUCUGCAGGAGCUGCAGCCCCAACCUCUUCAAUGGCCACAGAUGCUGAAAAUCCACGAAAGAAAGUUCUCACCACUAAAGUCCUUGUCUCUGUCAAAUCACUCAACAUCAGAAAAAGAUAAGAUUUUGCCAAUAAAAAUUACAUUU
Phascolarctos cinereus (koala) is the source of this 857-nucleotide non-coding RNA. NCBI's taxonomy places the organism in Eukaryota, Metazoa, Chordata, Mammalia, Diprotodontia, Phascolarctidae. The record is from RefSeq and is a predicted model, not a curated record.